This 354-nucleotide long non-coding RNA is filed under the name Fukomys damarensis (Damara mole-rat). RNAcentral describes it as "lncRNA (ENSFDAG00000023325.1)". Lineage: Eukaryota; Metazoa; Chordata; Mammalia; Rodentia; Bathyergidae. The record is from RNAcentral.
UAAGACAAGGUUUCUCUUAAAUCUCUAGGUGACAGGCUGAACGAGAACUUGAGAUCCUUUGUCUCGGCCUCCCAGAAUGCUGGAAUUACAGCCAUGUGACACCGUACUUAGUCGGUAAAGGUUUUAGCAUGAAGAGAGCAGUCAUCUACCCGUGGAAAAUCAAUACAAAGACAUUUAAGUGUAUCAUUGGAAUUUACAAAAUUAAAUAACAGCGCGAAAUGUAGAAUGCAAACAGUCGGUGUUACUGAGAGGUGGUACAACAAUUCAAGUACUCCGAAAACUUUGUAAUUAGCAGAAACAGCCACUAAAACAACACUAAAAUAAGGGAAAAAGCAAAGAAAAACUGCCAGCGAA